GCUCCGGUGGCCUAGUGGUUAGAGCUUCCGCUUCGAAUGCGGGAGGUCAUGAAAUCGAUCCCGGGUCGAGUCA
Non-coding RNA from Potamilus streckersoni, 73 nucleotides. NCBI's taxonomy places the organism in Eukaryota, Metazoa, Mollusca, Bivalvia, Unionida, Unionidae. The record is from the annotation of a GenBank genome assembly.